GCGUUCUUAGCUCAGAUGGUAGAGCACCACCUUGACUUGGUGGGGGUCAAUGGUUCAAAUCCAUUAGAACGCACUA
Molecule: transfer RNA, 76 nt
Rfam family: tRNA
About the family: Transfer RNA (tRNA) molecules are approximately 80 nucleotides in length. Their secondary structure includes four short double-helical elements and three loops (D, anti-codon, and T loops).